UACGUAGGUGGCAAGCGUUGUCCGGAUUUAUUGGGUUUAAAGGGUGCGUAGGCGGCUUUAUAAGUCAGUGCUGAAAUAUCCCGGCUUAACCGGGAGGGUGGCAUUGAUACUGCAGAGCUUGAGUGAAGUCGAGGUAGGCGGAAUUGACGGUGUAGCGGUGAAAUGCUUAGAUAUCGUCAAGAACACCUAUAGCGAAGGCAGCUUACUAGGCUGUAACUGACGCUGAGGCACGAAAGUGUGGGGAUCAAACAGG
Molecule: ribosomal RNA, 253 nt
Filed under: uncultured bacterium
Lineage: Bacteria
Description: partial 16S ribosomal RNA
Rfam family: Bacterial small subunit ribosomal RNA
Source: RNAcentral